This 139-nucleotide ribosomal RNA is filed under the name uncultured bacterium. RNAcentral's name for it is "partial 16S ribosomal RNA". It matches the Rfam family "Bacterial small subunit ribosomal RNA", at positions 1348 to 1500 of the family's 1533-position model. The record is from RNAcentral.
GUCAGCAUACUGUGGUGAAUACGUUCCCGGGCCUUGUACACACCGCCCGUCACACCAUGAGAGUUGAGAAUACCCGAAGCCCAUGUCAAAGUGGUCGAAGGUAGGCUUGAUGAUUGGGGUGAAGUCGUAACAAGGUAGC